GCGGGCGCGGGGCUCGGGGCUCUGCCGUCCCGCGGCCUGACCGAGCCGGGGAAGGGCCACGGGUGCAGCGGAAACCCUGCGAGGAGCAGCUGAGGGAGCUGGCGUGUUUGUCCUGGGGAAAAGGAGGCUCGGGGGUGACCUUAUCACUCUCUACCACUGUGGCCAGCAGUAAUACAUCAUUCUUGAGAUGUGCUGCCUUUUGAUGCUUCUCUAAAUGAAGGGUGACUGAAAUGAGAACGUCAAGGACAAGCAGAUACUUCAGAACUGUUUCCUGUGAGACAAAUAGGAAAGGACUGGGAAUUAUUUCUUCUAUAACUGAUUGAGAAGAAAAUAGAAUUAUGAAUCUAGAGAGUUGCUGCAGAGAUGCUGCUGUGAUAGGAAAAGAAGUAAUUGGCUUUUAUUGCAAGAAGGAAGAUUCAGUUCAGCUACUGGAAAAUAAUGGGAAGGAUAUUUCUACAUGGACAGACAUCCCAUUCAAAGCUAGCAGAAUUUCUGAAAGUAGCCAUGAGUCAUAAUAACAUUUCUGAGAUGUAGUUUAAUUUAGUUACUUAGCACUGAUGUACAUCUGGAGAAAAAGACCCCUCUGUUUUAUAUGAAGCUAAUAGAUCUGAUUAUGAAGAUGUAGUGUGUUCAUAUAUCCCAAGAAAAAUGUUUAUUCUGUUUCAUAAGUGUGAUUUUCUUUCUAGUUGAUAAACAAGACCUCAUGAUCUGGACACAAAAUCAGUUUUAAAAAAAUCAAGAAAUUUAUCAUAUAUACAAUGAAAAUCCCACAAAUUUGAUCAAAAGAGAAGUCAAGCUUAAAUUUAUGUAUUAGUCCUUCUGUUCACUGUAAACACAUUAUUCCUUUGGCCAUUGCAUAGCCUUAUGGCACUUUAAUUUUAUUACAUAAAGUGGAGAUUAACGUUGAACAAUAGCAGAAUGUAAGCAGAAUACAAGUCCACAUGCCUUCCAGCCUACAUAGCAGUCAUGAUGUUGCUGAGAUUUUUCUUGCAAGUCCUGUAAAAUUUCUUUCAUCUAAAAUGAAGUUCAGUUUCAUAUUGGAAUAUAUGCCUAAUGCAGUGUAAGUUAUCUUCAUAAAGAAGCUUGUCAGCAGGAACUCAUAUGUCAAGAUAGGAAGGAAGAGAUCAAAGUAUUUAAAUGGAGCAAACGUCAUGUGUUGGCUGUGAGGUAAUUAGUCUAGUUCCAAAAAUGGAAGUGAGCUUAUGCAGAAGCACAAGUUUAUCUUCAGUGAAAUCCUGUCUCAAGAAAAAUUUUCUGUAAACUUGUAUGAAAAAUAAUCAGUCUGGUACUCAGACUUUGACCCUGAAAAGUGCUGAGUACAACAUUGCUUCUGUCACUGCAAUUUAAUGAGUGUUUAACCUAAGAGUAGCACCUGACAAAUUCAAGCAUUUGUAGCACUAGCAGUUAGCAAACUCUGAUGGUGGAUUUGACAUAAAGGUGUAUUUGUUACCUAAUAGAUAUCAGCAAAAUGGGAAUUUAAAAUGUGAAUACUAAUUAAUAUGCCUAUUUCCAAAUAUAUCUGCCUGAGUAUUUUUUUUGGAAUUGCAUAGCCAGCUGUAUAUAUGAAAAAUUGUCCACUGAGCAUUAUCUUGGAAAACAACAUGAAUGACAGGCAGUACAUCUUUGAGUCAUAUUGCUUUAAUUUCCAGACUCAUUAGUUAAACAGAUUCUGUCAUAAUAAUGCUUCUGUAGAAGUCCUGCAGAAAGCAGUGCUGCUAUUUAUCCAGUAGAUGUACAUAGAUAUAGUGUUGGCACAUCAUGGUUUGAAUGAUCUGAAAACUGGGUAUUUUACAAAAGAUUCCCUCAAACAAAAAUACCCAGUAGCACAUCAGUGACUGAGACAAUCUAAACCACUUUGCCACAUGAGAAUAAUUUAAUUCUUUAAAAAGACAAAGUACAAAAAUGAUAUGUUUGUUCUCCCCUUGCUUUCUUCAUCCCACCCAUUUUUUUAACAGGGGAAAGGCAAGUGAUUAUUUUUUUAUUAUUAGCCAGAAGGUGGUUGUUUUAAUCACUAGGUUUUACUUGUAUAAGGAGACUUGAUAGCUCUGUUUAAGAACACUAAUUACUGGAGGGGCACAAUAUUUUACCCUUAUGAAUAAAGUUGAGAAGAAAAGUAUUUAUUAUCUUUGAAAGGACUGAAAGAGGCUACCUUACUCAUACUUGUCAACAUUAGUUUUCCAUGGUACAAGGUUGUUACAGCAGCAGUUGUCCCAUCUUAGGACAACUCAUAGGAUAGUUAGUAGGAAAGCAAAACAUAAUUUAUACCUUCAGGUUAAUGCCAUAUACUUACUCUGGAAAAAUAAAAUCUGUAGGAAAAAACUCUCACAUAAAAAUAUGGACUUCUUUGAUUUAGGAUGCUCAUACAGUAAUAUAAAGGCUCCCAAAUGCUACAAAAACCCUUUAUUUUUUAUGGCUAGAAAUUUAGAAUUGGAUGCCUUAGAAGGUACAAAUAGUGCUUAGUUCAAGAAUACAAAUGAUGUGAUAAAACAGUCUCUGACUUCACUGGCAGAAUAGAAAAGAAGUUGGAAGUUAAGAUUAGUUAGAAGAGUUCUGUUGUUCACCAGCUGGAAAACUGAUAGGAAAAAUAUUUGAAUGGUCUAAUGGUAAUAGAUUUUUAAGUAUACAUUUUAACAAUAAAUGCAUGUGGCCAAUUGUGACCAAAAGUAUUUCCUAGAAAUAUCCAGAAGGGCAUAAAAAUGUAAAAAGAGCUGGACAGAGAAAUGAAAGAAUGAGGUUUUCAUUAGGAGUGUUUGAAUAUCAAAUAGAUGCCAAGAGCAGUCAGCAGUUUUAUUUGCAGCUCAAAUUUCAGUAACUUGGAACCUGCUGUUAAUCAAACUCAUGUAACUUACCGGGAAAGGGAGAAGGUGUUCUGAGUAAAUAAUGUUUGAAGCAAUUUGCAGCUCUUUAUCUAAUAUAUUGACAAAUGUCAACAUGCAGAGAUACUGCAGCCAAAGGUGAAUGAACACUAUGAGAAGCAAAACCUCUCAGUCAAAAAUCUCUUUAUCUUUGCUCUAAUGCUUUGCUGCCUUCUGGCAUUUUGGUCACCAUGUGUACUAUGGUUAUAUAUUUGUUUGUUUGUUUGUUUUGGUUUUGGUUUUUUUUUGGCCUGUAAAAGAACACAUAGAUAUGAAAGCAAGCAAACAGAUUUUGAAAAGGAUUUUUCACCUGUUUUUCCUCUUGUUUCCUGAAAUAUUUGGCUGACCUUGAGGUAACCUCACUGGCAAAAUAACAACAGGCAGUCUAUAAGCAAAGGUUAAUGAUGAAACAAGGUCAAAAGUAGAAACCAGUUUCCCACUGCAGUUACAUUGAUAUACAUUUAGUAUAAUUAUAAUUAAUAAUUAAUUUUAACCUUUGGGUUAUGAAUAAAGUGAUUAUAAUAUUACAGUUGAUUUUAUGUAAGUUAUUUACUCCUUCCUGUGCACCAAAAAAUGUUGCUGUUGAUAAAAUAAUGCAAAAAAAUUUGCCUGAGGAAAUUUGAAUAGAUUAUAUUGCCAAGUAGGCUGAAAUUUACAUGUAAUAUUUUUUCAUUUCUACGUCACCCCAGCUCAAGUUGGUAGUGCUGUAGACUGAUUUUUAAUUUCAUGGCUGUUCUAUGUUAGGUUUUUAAACAGUCCCACAGCAAUAAAAUAUGUAAUUAACAGUCCUAGUCCUAAACUGUUAACCUUGUUUGAAUUAUUAGCAGAAUUUGAAGACUAAAUGGCCACAGAUAUUUGCCUUGGUAGUAGGAUUUCUGUGUUUAAGAGAUUUAGGAAUUUGGUAAUCUUAGACUUAGGGCUUUAGGGUUUCUUCUCAUAUACACUUAAGAAAGCAUUUGCAUCUUUCCUUGAUUUCUUUUUUGUGCAAUGUAGAAAAUAAUGUGGUCAUGUGAAGAUUAAAAAAAAAAUAAAUUCACAGUUCUGAUCAGGUUUAAUUUUCUAUUGCUUGUGGCUUGAUUUGGUUUAAUUCUCUAUUGCUUGUGGCACUGUGGAAUACUUCAAGAGAUGAAUUAGAAGUUGUACCUUACCUUCAUGUCCCUGCUAACAAGGGAGGUAAACCCUAAGAAAUCUAGUCCUGUUUUUCAUAAUGUCUGGUUUUCUGGGAUGAACUGAACCUUCCAAUUUUUGUGACUUAAGUGUGGUAUAUUUUAUGAGGACUAUAAUUUUGCUCAAAGUUUGUAGUACAUUUGUUUCUAAUAUUGUUUACAAAGUACUCAAAUAUUUAUCUCUCAUGUUCAGAUUGUUUUGCCUUUUUACUGAAUGAAUAUGUAAAUAGAAACAGUA
Long non-coding RNA from Passer domesticus (house sparrow), 4259 nucleotides. RefSeq lists it as uncharacterized. Lineage: Eukaryota; Metazoa; Chordata; Aves; Passeriformes; Passeridae. The record is from RefSeq and is a predicted model, not a curated record. The transcript is spliced from 2 exons.